GAUGAACGCUGGCGGCGUGCCUAAUACAUGCAAGUCGAGCGAACGGACGAGAAGCUUGCUUCUCUGAUGUUAGCGGCGGACGGGUGAGUAACACGUGGAUAACCUACCUAUAAGACUGGGAUAACUUCGGGAAACCGGAGCUAAUACCGGAUAAUAUUUUGAACCGCAUGGUUCAAAAGUGAAAGACGGUCCUGCUGUCACUUAUAGAUGGAUCCGCGCUGCAUUAGCUAGUUGGUAAGGUAACGGCUUACCAAGGCAACGAUGCAUAGCCGACCUGAGAGGGUGAUCGGCCACACUGGAACUGAGACACGGUCCAGACUCCUACGGGAGGCAGCAGUAGGGAAUCUUCCGCAAUGGGCGAAAGCCUGACGGAGCAACGCCGCGUGAGUGAUGAAGGUCUUCGGAUCGUAAAACUCUGUUAUUAGGGAAGAACAUAUGUGUAAGUAACUGUGCACAUCUUGACGGUACCUAAUCAGAAAGCCACGGCUAACUACGUG
RNAcentral lists this ribosomal RNA (497 nucleotides) under uncultured bacterium. RNAcentral describes it as "partial 16S ribosomal RNA". It matches the Rfam family "Bacterial small subunit ribosomal RNA", at positions 28 to 507 of the family's 1533-position model. The record is from RNAcentral.